CCUACGGGAGGCAGCAGUGGGAAUAUUGCACAAUGGGCGCAAGCCUGAUGCAGCCAUGCCGCGUGUAUGAAGAAGGCCUUCGGGUUGUAAAGUACUUUCAGCGGGGAGGAAGGCGGUGAGGUUAAUAACCUCACUGAUUGACGUUACCCGCAGAAGAAGCACCGGCUAACUCUGUGCCAGCAGCCGCGGUAAU
This 193-nucleotide ribosomal RNA is filed under the name uncultured bacterium. RNAcentral describes it as "partial 16S ribosomal RNA". It matches the Rfam family "Bacterial small subunit ribosomal RNA", at positions 338 to 524 of the family's 1533-position model. The record is from RNAcentral.